This is a long non-coding RNA of Diprion similis, 791 nucleotides long. RefSeq lists it as uncharacterized. The record is from RefSeq and is a predicted model, not a curated record. Lineage: Eukaryota; Metazoa; Arthropoda; Insecta; Hymenoptera; Diprionidae. The transcript has 5 exons.
CUGAAACGCCCUCGUUUGACGAUAUGACCGGACUUUGUGGUUCCCGAAGCGAAGCGAUCAGGUCGAUUCCAGUAUCGAUGACUCCCCGAGUAAACGGCGAACGAUCGACUUUCGUGCCAGUGAAAUGAGGCGAAACAAAGAUCGUUCAAAUUGCAUCACGUCUCGCUAUUUCAGUCCCGGACCAUCCGACUAACUGCGACGACGACGACGACGACGACGAUCUCGAGAUCUUGGCCUCGUCGCACUGCGUCCCCCUACAGGCGCUGAUGUCAUUACCAACUGAAUUGCGCACAUAUGUGAACAAAAGUAGAUAAACGUAGUAAGGAGAAAAAAAAAAAAACUCAUGUACUUGUAACGCAACAGUUGACGUGCAGUAUGCAUUGAUCGAUUGUCGUGCAUAACGUGUUGCUUGUGCAAUGUGUGAAAACGUGGUGUAAAAUUCAAUUAUACAGUCAUGUAAAUAGAAAACCAUGGCAUGGAUAAGUUUGUUCAAGAACGCCAUAACUUCUGGAUCAUUGCCAAAGUAGGUUGACAACUCCCACAAACUGUUUGCAAACAAACUGAAAGAGAAAUGUUCAUUAAUUCAAUAAUACCAUUGUUGAAUCAGCUGAAGAAUUCACAGGAAAAAGGACCAACAGCACUCUGCGUUGACUGAAGAAUCGACUCCAAGUCUGUACUUUGACUCAUCAACUUUUUCAACCGACUACAGUUCAAGUGAGAAUCAGGUGAUAAUCAAAUAGAAAAAAUCUGUAUACUGUUUUAGAAGGUCAAUUUUAUACUGUACAAACUUU